RNAcentral lists this long non-coding RNA (1580 nucleotides) under Anas platyrhynchos platyrhynchos (common mallard). RNAcentral describes it as "lncRNA (ENSAPLG00000019069.1)". The record is from RNAcentral. Lineage: Eukaryota; Metazoa; Chordata; Aves; Anseriformes; Anatidae.
UACCUCCACUAACUUUCAUUUGCAAAGCCGUGCAAGAGACUUUUUUUCUUUUUCUUUUUUUUAUGUCAGUGAAAUAUCAAAGGAAUAAAGCAAUUGAGAUAAUAUAUCUAUAUUAAAUAAUAUGAAUUACAGUUACAUUAAAUCAUAUAGCCUAACUGUAAUCUUGACUGGCUAAAAUAUACCAGUAGUGAAGAAGAGCAUAUUAUCUGAAAAGCCAUGCUGAAGUAACCAGAAAUGCACCUUCUUCACUUCUGCCCAAUUGAUCUGUUCCUUAACUGCACACAUCCAGUAACUUUAAGACCAAAAAAAACAUUGUUACUCGUGUUUUGUUUGUGUCUUCUGUUUCUGUAGCUUCCAAGUUGUGAAAACACACCACUGAGUUCAAUGCCCUGUUGUGAUUUUGGUGUGAACUCCCCUUAUGCAUGCUAUGUAUCUAAUAAUCUAAUGAUUAUGUAUCAGAAUCUGGAAAGGAGAUUGUACUCCUAAUAUUCAGUACAACAACAAACCUUGUAGCCUGUUUAAACUGGACUUUAAAGUACUCCCCUUAAUGUACUGUAUGUGUUUAGUGGAACAGACAUAUUAUUUUACACUUCUGUAGAUUUCAUCAAAUGAAUUGCAUGGAAUGCUGUAAUGGUUUGCAAUGCAACAUGAUCUAAAACAUUGCAUUUUAACCCAAGGGGACCAGCAGGUUUAUUCUGUUUGCAUGUGCUUUCCCCUAGACUCUGGCUGCCCUAACAAGAAAUUCAAUAAAUCUGCUUCCAAACCAUCUUGCACAAGCUUUGCAUGUCCAGUCUGGGCCUGAGGAAAUUAACAAGCGAAUAGAGCACACCAUCGACUUACGGAGUGGCGAUAAAUUGAGAAGAGAGCAUAUCAAGCCUUUUUCACUGAUGUUUAAAGACUCCAGCCUGGAGCACAAGUUUUCAGAAGAUGGGACUGAUCUAGAGGUCAUAAUGGACACUGUCAUGAUGCAGGUGUUACAGUGCUUCAGUGAUUAUAUUUCAUUGCUGGAAAAUGCCUACAUUGAGCAAACUCUUCUUCUGAAAACAAUAAAAGCUACUUGCAGAUUUCAUUUGUUGUGUAGUACAAGCAGUUUUCCAUCAUAUGACAGGUUGCUUUGGCACAAAUGGUGAUUGAGCAUAUUAAUAUACUGACACUUCUAUUCAAAAUAGAUAUCUAUAUUUACAUAGAUAUGUGCCUCUCAUUUACUAGCAGAAUCAAUCUGGUCUCCUCUAGUCAGCCACUGUUUAUUUCAAGUCAAAAUUAAUGUCAACUCUUUGGUUUAAACACCACUUUUUAACAUCUGCUUUUAAGAGGUAAAUGUUGUUCUUGUUUUUGUUGCUUCUCAGCAGCAAUAUGAUCUCACUAAUUUCUGUUUUAGUCCACAUCCAUAUAUAAGCUUUAAGCUAAAAAGAGAAAGGCAGGCAGGGGGAAAACUUUACUUGCAAGCUGAGUGGGAGAGGUGUUGCAUAGAUCUCAAAUGAUUUCAUUGACUUGCAUGCUAUUGAAAUGCAGUAACAGCAGGCCUAUGAUAUGAUGUGCACUUAAACUGAAAAGAAAAUAAAAACAAAAAAAUAAUUGCA